GUGAGUCAUCGAAUCUUUGAACGCACAUUGCGCCCGUCAGUAUUCUGGCGGGCAUGCCUGUUCGAGCGUCAUUACGCCCCUCAAGUCCCCUGUGGACUUGGUGUUGGGGAUCGGCGAGGCUGGUUUUCCAGCACAGCCGUCCCUCAAAUUAAUUGGCGGUCUCGCCGUGGCCCUCCUCUGCGCAGUAGUAAAACACUCGCAACAGGAGCCCGGCGCGGUCCACUGCCGUAAAACCCCCCAACUUUUUAUAGUUGACCUCGAAUCAGGUAGGACUACCCGCUGAACUUAAGCAUAUCAAUAAGCGGAGGA
RNAcentral lists this unclassified non-coding RNA (309 nucleotides) under Metarhizium sp. RNAcentral describes it as "partial contains 5.8S ribosomal RNA, internal transcribed spacer 2, and large subunit ribosomal RNA". The stretch from base 1 to 71 matches the Rfam family "5.8S ribosomal RNA", at positions 84 to 154 of the family's 154-position model. The record is from RNAcentral. Lineage: Eukaryota; Fungi; Ascomycota; Sordariomycetes; Hypocreales; Clavicipitaceae.